This is a long non-coding RNA of Labrus mixtus (cuckoo wrasse), 163 nucleotides long. RefSeq lists it as uncharacterized. The record is from RefSeq and is a predicted model, not a curated record. Lineage: Eukaryota; Metazoa; Chordata; Actinopteri; Labriformes; Labridae. The transcript is spliced from 2 exons.
UGCUGCCAGAAGCUAGUACCAACGGUAGGACACAAAUGAAGGAGACGCAUCUGUGAAGAACUUUAAAAGACUGCAAAGCCUAAACAUUUCUGGUUAGAAGGCGCACACGUUUUUCACGGUGUUUGCUGACAAAAGGAAAAGAAUAAAUAUUGGUCAAACAUCA